UAAAAGAUAUGUGACUUGAAAAAUGUGACUGUCUUCUGCCUAUACCCUGCCCUCAGGGAAGAUUGUGGCAUAUUACUGAACUAGGCAACCUAGUGAUGUGUCUCUUCUGACAGGGGUUUGCCCACAUAGACAAUUGUGACAUAUCACUGGGCUCAGGACCCAGGUGAUGUGACUCUGCUGCCUGUUCCCAACGUUCAAGAGAGGAUUGUAACAUAUCCCUGGCCAAGAACUCAGGUGAUUUGACUCUCCUGCCUUGUCCCUGUCCUCAGAGAAGAUUGUGAUAUAUCUUCAGCCCCAAACCCAGACUUUCCUGCAGGAGUGAUGCUGACAUGUUCCUCUAUUUGGCAUCUGAGUGAUAUGACCCUUGCCAUGGUCUAGCCCACAGAUGGAAUUGUGAUGUGUUGCUCUACCCAGCACCUAGGUGAUGUGACUCCAUUUUUCUGCCUUGACACUGUCCAUAAAAGGUAUUUUGACAUAUCUCUGGGAUAUGUACCCAGGUUACAUGACUCUCCUGCCUGUGUCCUGUCCACAAAUUAUGAAAUAUUACUGGGUCCAACACCCAGGGAUGUAACUCUCAUGCCUAGGCCCUGCCAACAGGGGGCAUUAUGACAAAUCUGUGUGCCAAUAACCCAGGUAAUGUGACUCUCUUUUUUUGCAUGGUCCCUGCUCACAGGGGGCAUUAUGACAUAUUGCUGAACUCAGCAUCUAACUGAUGUGAUUCUCCUUUCUACUUUUUGCCCACAGUGGAGAUUGUGACAUAUCACUGGGCCUCAAACUAAUGUGAUGUUACACUUUCAUUUUUGAACUGAACUCAGAAGGCACUGUGACAUAUUCCUGGGAACAGCACCAAGGUUAUCCCACUGUUGAGGUCCUGAAUCUCCCACCCAGAGGCAGUGGAAAGUUGGAGAAUUAACUCUCAUGCGUGGAUCUGAUACAUAGGGUAUUGUGACAUAUUGCUAGGCCCAUUAUCUAGAUGAUGUGACUCUCUUUGCUUGCCUGUGCACCACCCAAAAGGGACAUUGUGACACAUCUCUGAACCAAUUUCCUACAUAAUAUGCCUCUUCAUUGCUGCCUGAGAAAUGCCCCCAAAGAGGAUUGUGACAUGUCUCUGGGCCCAGAACCUGAAUGUUGUGACUCUCCUGCCUUGACAUAGAGGAAAUAUUAUGAUAUGUCACUCGGCCCUGCACACAAAUGAUGUUACUCUCCUGCCUGGGCCUUGCUUAUAGAGGGGAUUGAGACAUUUUACAGGUGAAGAAUUCAAGUGACAUCAUUCUCAUUUCUCAGCCUUUCCUGCAGGUAAGAUUGUGACAUAUUACUUAGCCCAGCACACAGAUGAAAUUUUUCCGCUUGUAUGCAAACCCAGCCAACAGGGGCUAUUGUCACCAUAACACAUGAAUAAAGACCACUGUUGAGGUCCUGAAUCUUAUAUGUGAACACAUCAACAGUU
RNAcentral lists this long non-coding RNA (1447 nucleotides) under Homo sapiens (human). Its description in RNAcentral is "HSALNT0396702". The record is from RNAcentral. Lineage: Eukaryota; Metazoa; Chordata; Mammalia; Primates; Hominidae.